GAGGGCUUACGUGUUGCAA
Molecule: unclassified non-coding RNA, 19 nt
Filed under: Mus musculus (house mouse)
Lineage: Eukaryota; Metazoa; Chordata; Mammalia; Rodentia; Muridae
Description: oocyte_clustered_small_RNA4943
Source: RNAcentral